This is a long non-coding RNA of Triticum dicoccoides, 254 nucleotides long. RefSeq lists it as uncharacterized. NCBI's taxonomy places the organism in Eukaryota, Viridiplantae, Streptophyta, Magnoliopsida, Poales, Poaceae. The transcript has 3 exons. The record is from RefSeq and is a predicted model, not a curated record.
CAGGAGAAGCAAACUGUUUGCUGCUGCUUGUAUCACUUGAUGAUACUAUACCUUGAUGCGCUCGUACAUGACAUCCCAGUAAGCAACUGCGCGAUACGAUCGAAUGCAUGGGAUAGUACUCUAAUUGCCAAGGUGAUCAAGAAGGAUACUAUCUCUCCUGGUGUGUUCGGCAAAUUACAACUUAAAGAGGAGUAUAGAGGCACGGAGCAGACACCACUGUUUGGUGGAAUUUUGCAAGCUGAAGCAUUUGUGGC